RNAcentral lists this ribosomal RNA (497 nucleotides) under uncultured bacterium. RNAcentral's name for it is "partial 16S ribosomal RNA". It matches the Rfam family "Bacterial small subunit ribosomal RNA", at positions 28 to 507 of the family's 1533-position model. The record is from RNAcentral.
GACGAACGCUGGCGGCGUGCCUAAUACAUGCAAGUAGAACGCUGAAGCUUGGUGCUUGCACCGAGCGGAUGAGUUGCGAACGGGUGAGUAACGCGUAGGUAACCUGCCUGGUAGCGGGGGAUAACUAUUGGAAACGAUAGCUAAUACCGCAUAAGAGUAGAUGUUGCAUGACAUUUGCUUAAAAGGUGCAAUUGCAUCACUACCAGAUGGACCUGCGUUGUAUUAGCUAGUUGGUGAGGUAACGGCUCACCAAGGCAACGAUACAUAGCCGACCUGAGAGGGUGAGCGGCCACACUGGGACGGAGACACGGCCCAGACUCCUACGGGAGGCAGCAGUAGGGAAUCUUCGGCAAUGGACGGAAGUCUGACCGAGCAACGCCGCGUGAGUGAAGAAGGUUUUCGGAUCGUAAAGCUCUGUUGUAAGAGAAGAACGAGUGUGAGAGUGGAAAGUUCACACUGUGACGGUAUCUUACCAGAAAGGGACGGCUAACUACGUG